AAAGGGAUUGACACUGCAAUCGAACAGGUCUUUGGGUAUGCAGAACAUAGAGAAUGCAUGCGAUAUUUGGUUGUGAACUUCAAGAAGAAGUUUCAUGGUAAAGUUUUUGAUGAUCAUUUGUGGUCGGCUGCUUAUUCAUGGACUCCUCGAGGGUUUGACUAUCACAUGGCAGCCAUAGAGGAGAAAAAGGCUGCUGCAAUAGCAUAUUUAAACAAGUACCACAGCAGGCUAUGGUCAAGGAGCAAAUAUUCAACCUCCUCGAAAGUGGAUUAUGUGACAAAUAAUUUGGCCGAGUGUUUCAACAACUGGAUCCGCAAGCACAAAGGUCUCAUGUUGUUUCAGCUCAUGGACAAGAUCAGGAGAAAGAUUACUGUCAAGUUUGAGAAGAGGAGAAGGGUAGCUAGAAAAUUUCAAGGUAGGCGUAUGCUUCCAAGUGUCAUGAAGGAGUUGAAUGACAUAAGCAGGGGGCUGGACAUUGAAUAUGAGAGAAUAGAUGACAUGAUUGCAGAGGUGAGUGAGAGUGUUGCACUAGGUGGCAAGCGCCACGUCACUGAUCUAGCAAAUAGGACAUGCACAUGCAGGGCAUUUCAAGUCUCUGGGAAGCCUUGCAAACAUGCAAUUAGCUUUAUUACUGGAAUUAGAGGGGUCACAAUAGAAGACUUCGUUGAUGAUUGUUACAGCGUUGCCAAGUUCGCUGCAGCUUAUGCUCCUAUUCUUCCUGGCCUAACUGACAUGUCUCAAUGGCCUAGUGUGAACAAAGAAUUCUUCUUGAAUCCCCCAAUCCUUAGGAGCGCCCCUGGGAGGCCAAAGGUGCAGAGGCACAAAAGUGAUGCUAAGAAUAGCAAGGGGAAGGGAAAGAAAGGCCAGCACCAGUGUCCAAUUUGCAAAGCUUAUGGACAUAGACGCAAAGCUGCAAAGAUGCUGCUCCUGAAGCACUAG
This 939-nucleotide ribosomal RNA is filed under the name Triticum aestivum (bread wheat). RNAcentral's name for it is "partial small subunit ribosomal RNA". Lineage: Eukaryota; Viridiplantae; Streptophyta; Magnoliopsida; Poales; Poaceae. The record is from RNAcentral.